UGAAGAUAUGUAUAGAACCUGGGUUGUGGGGUGUCUUCAUUUUCACCGUAGUUGGGUAUUGCCAAACAUUGUAAAAUGACCUUAACCUUUUCUUCUGUCAUUAGCAUAGGGGAGCUUGGUGGUGUUGGAGUUUCAAUUUUGUAUCUUACAUUAUUUUCUGUUUCCUUGAUGUGUAUUUUGAGCCCUGUUCCUUGUCCUUUAGAGUGGUUUGAAAAUUAUUGUCAUUAACUGCAGGGUAGUUUAUCAUGUUUUUGAAUUCUGCAGCAUUUCAGAUUUGGAUUUUUGGAUUUUGGAUGCUCAACUGGUAAUGUCUAUGCUAAUAUUCCAAAAUUCAGAAAACACUGAAAUCUGAAGCACUUCUGUCCCAAGUAUUUUGGAUAAGGAAUCCUUAGUCUGUACAUAAAUACUUCUUUGUACUUAAGUUUGGUUUCUUAGGACAGAUUGCUAAAGGGUCAAUUCCUG
Molecule: long non-coding RNA, 462 nt
Filed under: Marmota monax (woodchuck)
Lineage: Eukaryota; Metazoa; Chordata; Mammalia; Rodentia; Sciuridae
Source: RNAcentral